This 459-nucleotide ribosomal RNA is filed under the name uncultured bacterium. RNAcentral describes it as "partial 16S ribosomal RNA". It matches the Rfam family "Bacterial small subunit ribosomal RNA", at positions 338 to 795 of the family's 1533-position model. The record is from RNAcentral.
CCUACGGGUGGCAGCAGUGAGGAAUAUUGGUCAAUGGCCGGAAGGCUGAACCAGCCAAGCCGCGUGAGGGAGGAAGGCGCAGCGUGUCGUAGACCUCUUUUGUCAGGGGACAAAAGGCCGGACUCGUCCGGUCCUGAGGGUACCCGGAGAAAAAGCAUCGGCUAACUCCGUGCCAGCAGCCGCGGUAAUACGGAGGAUGCGAGCGUUAUCCGGAUUCAUUGGGUUUAAAGGGUGCGCAGGCGGGCCGUUAAGCCGGCGGUAAAAGCCCGGGGCUCAACCCCGCCGAGCCGUUGGAACUGGGGGCCUGGAGUGGGAGAGAGGUAUGCGGAAUGCGCGGUGUAGCGGUGAAAUGCUUAGAUAUCGCGCAGAACCCCGAUUGCGAAGGCAGCGUACCGGGCCCCCACUGACGCUGAGGCACGAAAGCGCGGGUAUCGAACAGGAUUAGAUACCCCUGUAGUC